RNAcentral lists this ribosomal RNA (659 nucleotides) under uncultured fungus. Its description in RNAcentral is "partial 18S ribosomal RNA". It matches the Rfam family "Eukaryotic small subunit ribosomal RNA", at positions 831 to 1514 of the family's 1831-position model. Lineage: Eukaryota; Fungi. The record is from RNAcentral.
ACGUGGCUAUUUGUUGGUUCAGGACGCGUAUGAUUAAUAGGGAUAGUCGGGGGCAUCAGUAUUCAAUUGUCAGAGGUGAAAUUCUUGGAUUUAUUCGAAGACUAACUACUGCGAAAGCAUUUGCCAAGGAUGUUUUCAUUAAUCAGUGAACGAAAGUUAGGGGAUCGAAGACGAUCAGAUACCGUCGUAGUCUUAACCAUAAACUAUGCCGACUAGGGAUCGGGCGAUGUUAUCUUNUUGACUCGCUCGGCACCUUACGAGAAAUCAAAGUUUUUGGGUUCUGGGGGGAAUAUGGUCGCAAGGCUGANACUUAAAGAAAUUGACGGAAGGGCACCACCAGGAGUGGAGCCUGCGGCUUAAUNUGACUCANCACGGGGAAACUCACCAGGUCCAGACACAAUAAGGAUUGACAGAUUGAGAGCUCUUUCUUGAUCUUGUGGGUGGUGGUGCAUGGCCGUUCUUAGUUGGUGGANUGAUUUGUCUGCUUANUCGCGAUAACGAACGANACCUUAACCUGCUANAUAGCCCGGCUANCUUUGGCUGGUCGCUGGCUUCUUANAGGGACUAUCGGCUCANGCCGAUGGAANUNGGAGGCAAUANCAGGGUCUGUGAUGCCCUUUAAUGUNCUGGGCCGCANGCGCGCUACCCUGACAGAGCCA